Molecule: ribosomal RNA, 881 nt
Filed under: uncultured fungus
Lineage: Eukaryota; Fungi
Description: eukaryotic LSU rRNA
Rfam family: 5.8S ribosomal RNA (bases 433-586)
Source: RNAcentral
UUCUUGGUCAUUUAGAGGAAGUAAAAGUCGUAACAAGGUUUCCGUAGGUGAACCUGCGGAAGGAUCAUUAAAGAAAUUUAAUAAUUUUGAAAAUGGAUUUUUUUGUUUUGGCAAGAGCAUGAGAGCUUUUACUGGGCAAGAAGACAAGAGAUGGAGAGUCCAGCCGGGCCUGCGCUUAAGUGCGCGGUCGUGCUAGGCUUGUAAGUUUCUUUCUUGCUAUUCCAAACGGUGAGAGAUUUCUGUGCUUUUGUUAUAGGACAAUUAAAACCGUUUCAAUACAACACACUGUGGAGUUUUCAUAUCUUUGCAACUUUUUCUUUGGGCAUUCGAGCAAUCGGGGCCCAGAGGUAACAAACACAAACAAUUUUAUCUAUUCAUUAAAUUUUUGUCAAAAACAAGAAUUUUCGUAACUGGAAAUUUUAAAAUAUUAAAAACUUUCAACAACGGAUCUCUUGGUUCUCGCAUCGAUGAAGAACGCAGCGAAAUGCGAUACGUAAUGUGAAUUGCAGAAUUCCGUGAAUCAUCGAAUCUUUGAACGCACAUUGCGCCCCUUGGUAUUCCAGGGGGCAUGCCUGUUUGAGCGUCAUUUCCUUCUCAAACAUUCUGUUUGGUAGUGAGUGAUACUCUUUGGAGUUAACUUGAAAUUGCUGGCCUUUUCAUUGGAUGUUUUUUUUCCAAAGAGAGGUUUCUCUGCGUGCUUGAGGUAUAAUGCAAGUACGGUCGUUUUAGGUUUACCAACUGCGGCUAAUCUUUUUUUAUACUGAGCGUAUUGGAACGUUAUCGAUAAGAAGAGAGCGUCUAGGCGAACAAUGUUCUUAAAGUUUGACCUCAAAUCAGGUAGGAGUACCCGCUGAACUUAAGCAUAUCAAUAAGCGGAGGAA